ACGAUUUUGAAAGGGGGCAGAUUGAAGUCAGUCAUGCCGGUGGGAAUCAACUUAGGGGAAACUCUGGGUGCACUUCUUCGCUUGGCAGGUCAACGUCGAUUUUGAAUGUCAUAAAAUAAUUGGGGGAAGGUAGCUCCUUCGGGAGUGUUAUAGCCCUUGAUAGAUGUGAUGUUUGGGGUCGAGGAUUGCAACGGAAACCUUUGGGGGUAGCAUGACGUAGGC
RNAcentral lists this ribosomal RNA (222 nucleotides) under uncultured Gigaspora. RNAcentral's name for it is "partial 28S large subunit ribosomal RNA". Lineage: Eukaryota; Fungi; Glomeromycota; Glomeromycetes; Diversisporales; Gigasporaceae. The record is from RNAcentral.